GGGGCUGUGGUGUAAUGGUAACACGCUUAGGCUUGACACCCAAGAAAUGCCGGUUCAAAUCCGGUCAGCUCCACCA
Molecule: transfer RNA, 76 nt
Filed under: Candidatus Peregrinibacteria bacterium
Lineage: Bacteria; Candidatus Peregrinibacteriota
Description: tRNA-Ser
Rfam family: tRNA
About the family: Transfer RNA (tRNA) molecules are approximately 80 nucleotides in length. Their secondary structure includes four short double-helical elements and three loops (D, anti-codon, and T loops).
Source: RNAcentral